Molecule: RNA transcript, 1506 nt
Organism: Gopherus flavomarginatus (Mexican gopher tortoise)
Lineage: Eukaryota; Metazoa; Chordata; Testudines; Testudinidae
Gene: DYNC2LI1
Gene name: dynein cytoplasmic 2 light intermediate chain 1
Exons: 14
Source: RefSeq, a predicted model, not a curated record
ACGCCCCCGAACUACAACUCCCAUGAUGCUCCUGCGUCUUAUGUCAGCAGUUGCGUGGUUCCCAUGGUGACCAGGAGCUGGGCCCGAGAUCAGAGCGCCCACUGCGGCCCCUGAGCAGCGAUGCCCAGACCCAGUGAUACUCUGUGGGAUAUUGCUAAAGCCGAAGUGGAGAAAAAAGAAAAUCUUGAAGGCGAUGGAGUGGAAGUUUGGGAAAAAUCACUACUCUUUAUGGGAAACAAAAAUGGGGGAAAGACUACUAUUAUACUGAGGUGUCUUGACAGGGAUGAAAUUCCAAAACCAACAUUAGCCUUGGAAUAUACUUUUGGAAGAAGAGCAAAAGGUCAUAACAGACCAAAAGACAUUGCACAUUUUUGGGAACUAGGUGGUGGAACCUCAUUAUUGGACUUGAUUUGUAUACCAAUAACUAAUGACAACAUAAGGACUUUUGCUAUAAUUCUUGUUUUGGACCUUUCCAAACCUAAUGAACUGUGGCCAACCAUGGAGAGUCUCCUACAGAUCACCAGGAACCAUGUGGAUAAAAUUAUAACUAAACUGGGAAAAACAAAUCCUAAAGUAGCUACUGAAAUUAAACAGAGGAUGUGGAACAAUAUGCCGAAGGAUCACCCAGAUCAUGAAUUAAUUGACCCUUUUCCAAUCCCUCUGGUGAUAAUUGGAAGCAAAUAUGAUAUUUUUCAUGAGUUUGACUCUGAGAUGAGGAAAAUAAUGUGCAAGACACUUAGAUUUGUUUCGCAUUAUUAUGGAGCAUCACUAGUGUUUACCAGCAAAUCUGAGGCCCUCCUGCUAAAAGCCCGUGUUCUUAUUAAUCAUUUGGCAUUUGGCUUUGACAGAAGCAAAUCCAUAUCAGUGGAUCAGAAUAAACCAUUGUUUAUCCCAGCAGGAUUGGAUUCUCUAAAUCAAAUAGGACCACCACCUGCCUCUGACAGUGAUAUUGGAAAACUGCAUGCACAUACACCUGUGGAUUUGUGGAAAAAAAUAUAUGAAAAAACAUUUCCACCUAAGAGUAUUAGGGACUUAAAAGAUGUCAAUGAUCCUGCCCAGGAUCCACAGUAUGCUGAGUAUGAAGUUGAUGCAAUGCGAACUCAGAAGAAUCAGCAGAGACACCUGUCUCACAGGACUGGCCCCAGCUCCCCUCUGUGGACACUGUGAUCUGGCACCUGCCUACCUUAGUGGUGCACUGACCCCAUUUGCCAAGUCACAAUGCUUAGGAAGCCAGGUCCAGUCCUGCAAGGCAGAAACCGUAGAAGCUGCCAGGACCUAGAACAAUAUAAGAGAAAUGCCUCUAAAUCCUGGAAAGAAAUGGAGUUUGAACCUUGAUUGAGAUAAGUGCUUAACUCUCACACUGAUUUUAAUUUUAUGUUUUGUACAUGUUAUGAUCAAUCAUCAUUUUUGAGUAUUAUACAAAGUAAUUGAAACUGGUGUUUUAUACAGUUGGAAAAAUAUGUAAUACCAAAUAACAAACAUACAAUAAACAAACAGUUAAUAUAA